AAUGACCAAAAGCACAGGCCCAGAGGGGCCGUGGGGCUGCAGCGGGGGUGUGCGCGGUCACGUCUCUGCCAGCUUGAUCCCACAGGAGGAGUGGGGUCCGUGAUCCCCCACGGAGUGAGGCCGGGUGCCCGGUUCCCCCUCCAGUGCCGGAGGGCAGCGCAGCAGCCGAGCUCCCUCUGCGGACAGCUUCUGCUCACUGCACCCGGUGGACAAGCGGCCGAGCCGGCUUCUCUUCUCUCUUCAGGGCCGGUCACAGCGGAUAACAUCCAAAUGUCCCCGCUCCGUGCUGCUGGGUGUCCUCAACUUGAAAACAAGUGCCUCUGCCUUGUGCCCAAGGACAAGCAUCCUGCGGGGCACGGCCAGGCUCUGCUCCCUGUGCCCCCCCAGCCGGCCCUGCCGAUCCGCUUCGCAGCUCCUGAUGUGACUUGGCAGCGCUACGGGGUCCCUUUGUGGAGGACAAGUUCGCCUGGCGGAGACACCGGGGACGUCCAGGGGGACGCUGUGGCGGUGGCAGGGCCGUGAAGCCGGGGCUGCAGCCGGUGCUGUGACCAGCAGAGGGGGACAGACACCGGGCGGGGAUGCUCCUGGCGGCUUGGCUCGGCUCGGCACAGCUCGGCACAGCUCGGCUCGAUUCGGCACAGGUCGGUCCUCGCUAAGCGUCGCCCCCAGGACGAGCAGCUGAAAGGGACGCAAAGCUUAUCUCGGGGUAAUCUGGGGUCAAGGUAGAUGCAGAUCUGAAGCCCCCUCCUCUGGUGGCCCCCCUGUCCCGGCUGCAUGGGCUGCCCUGUCCAUACGGGGUGCUGGCCACAUCCUGCCCUCCCGAGAAGUGCCACUGUCCCCACAUCCAUGCCUUGCACCCUAUGGUGUGUGCCAGUCCCAGGACACGGCUGGUGCGUGCCCACUGCCCAGGCUGACACGGGCUGUGCCAGGAGCCCAGCCGCCAGCUCUGGAUGGUGCUGGGUGUGUCCCCAGCUAAAUUUAAAGGACUCUGCGGUAUAAAUAUCCUCGGCUGUAAAUAAACACAAAGGCAAGAUGUUUAUCA
Molecule: long non-coding RNA, 1042 nt
Filed under: Numida meleagris (helmeted guineafowl)
Lineage: Eukaryota; Metazoa; Chordata; Aves; Galliformes; Numididae
Description: lncRNA (ENSNMEG00000021285.1)
Source: RNAcentral